Non-coding RNA from Salmonella enterica subsp. enterica serovar Enteritidis, 92 nucleotides. The record is from Rfam. Lineage: Bacteria; Pseudomonadati; Pseudomonadota; Gammaproteobacteria; Enterobacterales; Enterobacteriaceae.
AGAACGUGAUGGGAAGCGGCGCGCUUCCCGUGUAUGAUUGAACCCGCAUGGCUCCCGGUUCGUUCGGGGAAGCGCUGAGGGUUCAUUUUUAU